This 74-nucleotide transfer RNA is filed under the name Cordyceps javanica. Its description in RNAcentral is "Isaria javanica tRNA". It matches the Rfam family "tRNA". Rfam says of the family: Transfer RNA (tRNA) molecules are approximately 80 nucleotides in length. Their secondary structure includes four short double-helical elements and three loops (D, anti-codon, and T loops). The record is from Rfam by way of RNAcentral. Lineage: Eukaryota; Fungi; Ascomycota; Sordariomycetes; Hypocreales; Cordycipitaceae.
UCCCCUGUGGCUCAGUUGGCUAGAGCGUUGGACUGUUAAUCCAAAGGUCGGAAGUUCGAGCCUUCCCGGGGGAG